RNAcentral lists this ribosomal RNA (386 nucleotides) under uncultured bacterium. RNAcentral describes it as "bacterial SSU rRNA". It matches the Rfam family "Bacterial small subunit ribosomal RNA", at positions 30 to 416 of the family's 1533-position model. The record is from RNAcentral.
AUUGAACGCUGGCGGCAUGCUUUACACAUGCAAGUUGAACGGCAGCGCGGGCUUCGGCCUGGCGGCGAGUGGCGAACGGGUGAGUAAUAUAUCGGAACGUACCCAAGAGUGGGGGAUAACGUAGCGAAAGUUACGCUAAUACCGCAUACGAUCUAAGGAUGAAAGCAGGGGAUCGCAAGACCUUGUGCUCCUGGAGCGGCCGAUAUCUGAUUAGCUAGUUGGUGGGGUAAAGGCCCACCAAGGCAACGAUCAGUAGCUGGUCUGAGAGGACGACCAGCCACACUGGAACUGAGACACGGUCCAGACUCCUACGGGAGGCAGCAGUGGGGAAUUUUGGACAAUGGGGGCAACCCUGAUCCAGCAAUGCCGCGUGAGUGAAGAAGGCC